RNAcentral lists this long non-coding RNA (1230 nucleotides) under Apteryx haastii (Great spotted kiwi). RNAcentral's name for it is "lncRNA (ENSAHAG00000016476.1)". Lineage: Eukaryota; Metazoa; Chordata; Aves; Apterygiformes; Apterygidae. The record is from RNAcentral.
AAUCCUGUGUUUCCGCUGUGUCGAAACGCAGCCUCGAGACCAACGCAAAGAGGUUUCGCUGGCCCCAACGUCGCGCAGGAGGUCUCCAAGGGCCUGGCUUCCCUCCCGGUUCGGAGUGGGAAAGGCGAAUUAAGAGCCGAGGGUUUCUUCCCAGCCAGGGCGAGCUGGGUUCAUGUGCUUCAUCCUGCAACGGUUCCGUGCGAAGAGCCUCGCUCUGCGGGGAGCUGGACCUGGGAGAGCAUCCGUGGUGCCGGACACCUGUCCAGGGGCGCUUCCUCGCCCCGCAGCGUGCCGAAACUCGCAGCGGGAGCGACGGCACGACGCAGGGACGUGCCGUGGGGAAGGCGGCUCCGCAUCCCCCAGGCCGGGGAGCGCCGGCCGGCCGCGGCGGGGCACGGCCUGCUCCGGCGGCUGGGAACACCGCUGCUCGGCCCCGUUCAGCAGGAGCGGCAGGAUGGAUGGACCGGCAGCCCCAGAGGUGAAGGCUGGUGCUUUAUCCUGCUCACGCCCGCUCCUCCCUCGCCCCGGGUUAUAAAUGGGUGUGAAUUGUCUCCCCUUGAUAGGCAUAACCUCCAUGCCGGCUCCCACACCCCGGGGAGGUGCCCCUCCGGGCUUGCUUUGCUUCCUUGCCCUCCCGUGUCUGAUGUCUUCCCAGAUGCUUCAGACGUUUCUCUCUGCCUCCCGGAGCAGCUGCCUGGGAGGGGGAAGGGAGGGCGGGAUGGGGAGCCGGGAGCUGCUCGCCGCCCCUCCAAGCAUCCCCGGGAGCUGCUCCCUUCCCGGGCCGGCUGCGGGGAGCAGGGCUGUGCGGCGCGGGCUGCGCCUCCGGGACCCCACGCACCUCCAUCCCCGCUGCCGGGACCCGCCACCCCGGGUCCUCUGCGCCCCGGGAGCCCGAGUGCGUUCGCAGUCCCGCAAGCUCCCGGCAGAGCUGGGCAGGGGGGAGCGAUGCCGCAGGGGGGGAGCGAUGCCGCAGGGCAGAGCUGCACAGCGAAACCUCCCAGCAAAGCAUCCAUCCGCCCGGCCGGUCUGCUCCGCUCCGUAAUUGUUUUAACACCGUGCACGGGAGAGAGCAGCAAGCGCUGGCGGCGCUGGGAGCCUCCGGGCCCCGCGGGGAGGGCGGGGGGCUGCAGCCCCCGAACAGUGGGGAGGUUUUGCCGGGCCGCGGCUCACGUCCGGCCUCGGCCGCGGCCCUCCGGCGCGCGUCGCUUCCACGCCGGCAUCCAGCAAUAA